CCAAACCGACCUUUUCUCCACUCCAGCGGUCAGUUCACCGGGACCUUUUCCUAAGGAUGUAGGCCAAGGUGGCUCAUGGGAAUAUAUGAUGUAGUGUUAUAUUUUGAAUCUCUCUUCUGCCUUCCAAUUUCUAUCUUUUUUUCCCCCUCCAUCCAAGCCUGUGCCUGAUGUUGCCCGAAGGAUGCGGAAGAAAAAGACUUCAGGACUGGAAGCGCUCUUACCCCAAGAUCGGUCACCUUUCCCCUUUCCCAAUUCCCCGCACCAGUUCACACCAGCAACUGAGAUUUAGGCCUGUUUUCCCGAAGGGCCUCGGCCAGUCCCUGCACUUAGUAGGCAUGCAAUAAACCUUGAAAGCCCAAAUGAAUGAUGCUGCUUCCCUAUGCACAUGGUGCUUAGGGGUGAGAUUUCUCACAUAGGUCAGUGUGAUGAAGCUUGACGGCAACAGUUGUUCACUUUGAAUCAAAGAAUAACUGUUAAUUGGUGUGCUGUCAUCAACCAGAAGUUUCCAAAUAUGUGUCCUCCAAUUCAAAGAGAAGUAGCUGGAUGCAAGCAAAAAUACUCAUGGGGACUCUCUGCACAUGAUGCAUCUCCAGAGAAAGUUGCUUCAUUCUUUUUUGUUUUUGGAACACUUCUUACAGUAUACUCCAACUACUGGAUAGCAUCCUAAGUUCAUCCAGAUUUGUCCCAAGUCUGAAUUCUUGGUCUUCCUCCCACCCUCUAAUUCCACAGAUAAAGAAGAAAUAAUAAUAAAGGAAUAAAAAUCGUU
Long non-coding RNA from Capra hircus (goat), 766 nucleotides. RefSeq lists it as uncharacterized. NCBI's taxonomy places the organism in Eukaryota, Metazoa, Chordata, Mammalia, Artiodactyla, Bovidae. The record is from RefSeq and is a predicted model, not a curated record. The transcript has 3 exons.